This 253-nucleotide ribosomal RNA is filed under the name uncultured bacterium. RNAcentral's name for it is "partial 16S ribosomal RNA". It matches the Rfam family "Bacterial small subunit ribosomal RNA", at positions 524 to 776 of the family's 1533-position model. The record is from RNAcentral.
UACGGAGGGUGCAAGCGUUAUCCGGAUUUACUGGGUUUAAAGGGUGCGUAGGUGGGUUGGUAAGUCAGUGGUGAAAUACUUUCGCUUAACGAAGGAACUGCCAUUGAUACUACCAGGCUUGAGUACAGACGAGGGUGGCGGAAUGGAUGGUGUAGCGGUGAAAUGCAUAGAUACCAUCCAGAACCCCGAUUGCGAAGGCAGCUGCCUAGACUGUAACUGACGCUGAGGCACGAAAGCGUGGGGAGCGAACAGG